CCUACGGGAGGCAGCAGUGGGGAAUAUUGCACAAUGGGGGAAACCCUGAUGCAGCGACGCCGCGUGAAGGAAGAAGUAUUUCGGUAUGUAAACUUCUAUCAGCAGGGAAGAAAGUGACGGUACCUGACUAAGAAGCCCCGGCUAACUACGUGCCAGCAGCCGCGGGAAUACGUAGGGGGCACGCGGUCUCCGGAAUUACUGGGUGGAAAGGGAGCGUAGGCGGCGAUGCAAGUAAGAAGUGAAAGCCCGGGGCUCAACUCCGGGACUGCUUUUGAAACUGUAUGGCUAGAUUGCAGGAGAGGCAAGUGGAAUUCCUGGUGUAGCGGUGAAACGCGUAGAUAUUAGGAGGAACACCAGUGGCGAAGGCGGCUUGCUGGACUGUAAAUGACGCUGAGGCUCGAAAGCGUGGGGAGCAAACAGGAUUAGAUACCCGGGUAGUC
RNAcentral lists this ribosomal RNA (440 nucleotides) under uncultured bacterium. RNAcentral describes it as "partial 16S ribosomal RNA". It matches the Rfam family "Bacterial small subunit ribosomal RNA", at positions 338 to 795 of the family's 1533-position model. The record is from RNAcentral.